CAAUAGCGUAUAUUAAAGUUGUUGCAGUUAAAAAGCUCGUAGUUGGAUUUCUGGUGGGAGCGAUCGGUCUGGCGCUUAGCGCGAGUACUUGCAUCGUCUCCGGCCAUCCUUGGGGAGAGUCUGUCUGGCAUUAGGUUGUCGGGCAGAGGAUCCUCAUCGUUUACUGUGAAAAAAUUAGAGUGUUCAAAGCAGGCUUAUGCCGUUGAAUAUAUUAGCAUGGAAUAAUAAGAUAGGACUUUGGUACUAUUUUGUUGGUUUGCGCACCAAAGUAAUGAUUAAUAGGGACAGUUGGGGGUAUUCGUAUUCCGUUGUCAGAGGUGAAAUUUUUGGAUUUACGGAAGACGAACUACUGCGAAAGCAUUUACCAAGGAUGUUUUCAUUAA
RNAcentral lists this ribosomal RNA (383 nucleotides) under uncultured eukaryote. Its description in RNAcentral is "partial 18S ribosomal RNA". It matches the Rfam family "Eukaryotic small subunit ribosomal RNA", at positions 592 to 976 of the family's 1831-position model. The record is from RNAcentral.